This 74-nucleotide transfer RNA is filed under the name Opitutaceae bacterium. RNAcentral's name for it is "tRNA-Gln". It matches the Rfam family "tRNA". Rfam says of the family: Transfer RNA (tRNA) molecules are approximately 80 nucleotides in length. Their secondary structure includes four short double-helical elements and three loops (D, anti-codon, and T loops). Further hydrogen bonds mediate the characteristic L-shaped molecular structure. tRNAs have two regions of fundamental functional importance: the anti-codon, which is responsible for specific mRNA codon recognition, and the 3' end, to which the tRNAs corresponding amino acid is attached (by aminoacyl-tRNA synthetases). tRNAs cope with the degeneracy of the genetic code in two manners: having more than one tRNA (with a specific anti-codon) for a particular amino acid; and 'wobble' base-pairing, i.e. permitting non-standard base-pairing at the 3rd anti-codon position. The record is from RNAcentral. Lineage: Bacteria; Pseudomonadati; Verrucomicrobiota; Opitutia; Opitutales; Opitutaceae.
UGCCCGAUGGUGUAAUGGUAGCACAAGCGACUCUGACUCGCUUUGUCUAGGUUCGAGUCCUAGUCGGGCAGCCA